RNAcentral lists this long non-coding RNA (27629 nucleotides) under Selaginella moellendorffii. Its description in RNAcentral is "long non-coding RNA (SMOE_LNC000191)". The record is from RNAcentral. Lineage: Eukaryota; Viridiplantae; Streptophyta; Lycopodiopsida; Selaginellales; Selaginellaceae.
AGUGAGCAACCAACACAAAAAGUAUCGAACACUUUGGCACUGGCAAAUGUUGCAAUAUAUAGUCGGAUAAUCCCCUCCAGUACGGUCAAAGGGCCCCAAGCAGCCGGCCAGACAACUGUAUGGGCCCCGACCACGGGGGUUGACUUUUCUAAAUCUCAAACUGUCGGCGGAUCAUUCGCAAGCACAUAUUAACUUCGGCACAUGGAUGAUCAAAGAGCAGUUCUGAAAGUAAGAUUUGGAUGCACUGCAUUUGUGACUAAAGAUCAGUGUUUUGUUUGCAUUUGAUCAUGUACGAAUUUAGAAGCAAAUCAAAGCAUUACCGCAUAUGAUGAACUUUCAUGGAAUUGGAGAAGAUUCCCUUGGAUGAACGUGUUUAAGAUCAUGGGAGAUUUUCACCAAGGGAAGGAAUCAAAAGUGAGCCACUGGUCAACUCAUCAAUGGUGAUCAUGACAAAGGAGAAUGUCUGAGAGCAUUUUACAUUGACCCCAUGACAUCAUCAAGCUUUGACUCCCUCCCUAAAGUCAGCCAUCAUGCUUUACAUGUCUCGAGCUUGUUAGCCUCGACGUGAUGAUUGACUUUAAGAGGCCAGAAAGAAGACAAGGGAACAUCUCACGAGAUUUUAAGCUGGAUCUUGGAUUAUGCAAAGAGCUUGUCAACCCGAACAUUCUCUCCACUCCAUAGUGUUAGUCAGACGUGAUGACUGAUACCUUAGGAGGCGAGAAAAAAGAUCUAGGAAAUGUCAACCCCAACAUUCUCCAUCUGGCACUCUCACCAACAAUGCUGGUCCACUCCACAGCAUCUGGGAAAAAAGGCAUGGCCAAAACAAGAUCCACCGCUUGCUUUCUCAAUGCCACAGUUCGGGACAUGACAUCUAGCAUACAAGAGUAAUGCUGCUUUGAUGGCACCAAUCCGAAAUCCAUAGCUAUGGAGUGGAACAAAGCUUUUGCAGUAUCAAGUUUUCCAGCGUGUCUACAUGCUACCAAAAUCGAAACAAAACAGCUUUCAUCAAUUGAGUCUAUGAGUUUGAACUCGCUGAAAAGUUCAAAGGCACCCCUGUAGUGAGUGUGGUCUUGAGAAUAACAAGAAAGGAUGGCAUUUGCUGCCACCAGAUUAGAAGGUUCAUAGGGAAUCAUAUCAAAGAGCUUCUUUGCUUGUUCCAAAUGCCCGUUUUCUGCAAACGCACAGAUAAUGGCAGUCCAGGCAACAACAUCUCGCUCGAGCAUUCGAUCAAACAAAUGCUUGGCUUCCCCUGCCAUGUUGUUUUGCCCAUACGUAGCUACCAACAAAGUCCACGACACUAAGCACCUGUCCGGCAUUGCAAUGAGCAGAUUGUAUGCAUCUUCUAGCGAGUUUUUCUGGGUAUAUGCUGUGAGCAAUGCGUUCCAAGAUACCAAAUUGGUCUCUGGCAUCUCGUCAAAGAUGCGCUUGGCUUCUUCCAAGUCCCCGUUGGCAGCACGCGUCUGCAGAGCAAUGUUCCACGUAUACAAAUCCUUCGCUGGCAUUUGGUCAAAGAGCCUCUCGGUGGCAGCUGGUGAGGAUGACAACGCUACCAGCAUGGCAUUUCCCGCCACAAGGUCCCACUCCGGCAUGUCAUAGAACACUCUCUGUGCCUCGUCAGCAAGGCCCGCGGCUCCGUAUGCUGCCAGCAUGGCAGUACACGCGGCAAUGUCUCUACCUGGCAUGCCAUCAAAGAUCUCCUUGGCUCUGUGCAAAUGCCCUUUCUGGGCAUUGAGGACCAAGAGAGUGUUCCAAGAGGCGGCGUUGCGUUGUGGCAUCUGAUUGAAUGUCACUGUUGCGUAGGCAAGAUCACCUCUAUCAGCGUAGAGCGUGAGCAUUGAAUUCCACGAAUACAUGUUCUGCUGGGGCAUUUGAUUGAAAACUCGCACUGCUCGAUCAACACAGCCCGCCUGGACGCAGCAGCUCAAGAGCACCGUCCACGAAAUCAUGUCCCUCUCUGGCAUGGAAUCGAAAGUUUGCUGCGUGCCUUCCAGAUCUCGCCUCUGAGCGAACCAGUUGAGGAGGAUGUUCCAUGAUGCCAAGUCACGCCCCGGGAUCUCGUGAAAAACCUCCAGGAUCUGUUCAAUGCUUGCUCGCUCUUGAGCCGCGAUUGCUCCAAGGAGGACGUUCCAGCAGAUGGUAUCGCGCUCCGGAAGUUCGCGAUCAAACAUUAAUCGCAACAUUGCAUGAUCCAUAGUCUGGGCAUAUGCGUGGAGCAAGGUGGUCCAGGAGACGAUGCUGCGCAUCGGCAUUCUUUCCAGAAAGAGUCGCGCUUGAUCGAGUUUUCCGCCGGCGACAAAUGCUGUGAGCAUUGAAUUCCAAGAGACGAGAGUGCGCUGUGGCAUCUGAUCGAAGACGGAUUGGGCUCGAUCCAAAUCUCCUUGACGGGCAUAUCCAGAGAGCAAGAUAUUCCACGACGCUAUGCUCCAUUCCGGCAUCCGAUCGAACAGGUGCUUCACUCCAUGCGCACUCCCGCUCCUCGCUUGCUCCAAAAGGAUCGAAUUCCAAGAACCCAAGCUCUCGAUCACACCAUUCAUUCAUUCCAAUCAAUCAAUCUACGCCUAGCUACCAGCCAGCAAGAGAAGCAGAAGGGGAGUUACAUGUUGAGGCUUGGAAUGCGGUACUUUCGUGUUAUAGCAUCGACAACUUCCGGGCUUUGUCUACCGUACAGAGCAGUAACUUGCUCGUACAAGACCUUCAUCGUCUCGGGUUUCCUCCCACUGAUGUUACAUAAGAAUGCAAUCCUCGACAGCGUGUGCUUGCUGCCCGAACCGGUCUCACGCAUGAUCCUCAACAGCUGCUCGCAGUCGAUCGGGACCCGAGGAUCCCUGAGCAUGCAGACUGCCGAGUAGUGAUCCACAAACCCAGCACGAAUCCAAUCCUUCUCCUGCUCGCUCAUCCCUUUGAUCCGCUUCUCAAUCUCCACCACCACGUCCAUGACAUCGUCGUCGACUUUGAUCGCCAGCCCCGAUCCCCCGCGAUCGUCUUCGUAGCCGGGAAGAUCACCCAAGACAUGACGGUGGCUCCGCUCCAGCUUGCAUCGCUCGCAGCUACACUCAAAGUUGUACUGCUGGAUCAUCUUCUCGCGGUAGCCGGCGUAGGGAGCCAGCGGCGGCUCCAGAUACGAGAGCAGCACCUCGUCCCCGGCCUUGAGAUCCUUGGCAGCUCUCACGAACACCACAUCGCCGAUGCUCAUCUUGGAAGCGUUUGGAAUGCACGAGUGGUUGAUCAAUCCCACCGAUGCCCACAGCCCCGGAACGUAUGAGCCGCCAGAUCCCUGCGAGCUGUAGCCCACUCGAUCGCGAGCUCUUCGAAUCCUGGCAACGUCCACGCCGCGGCUGCUUCUCGGCGUGGCCGCCACCUUUCCGGUGUUACACUUGAACGGGGCCAAGUCGGGCAGUGCCGUCACCUCGGCUGCCUCGCGGUCGGCCAUGGCAUAGAUCUGCUCGAGCCGCCGCUCGGACUCCACACACGCCUUGACGAUCUCCACCACCAAGUCCUCGUCUGCGUCAUGGGAAGCGGCGCUUGACACAGCCGCGAUUGGAUUGCAAGCGAGCAGCAAGUCCCCGAGUUGGACGUCGCGGGUGAGGAAGAUCCCCCGUCCUCGCCCGUCGUGGGUGUGCUUGAUCUCCAGAGGACCGAAGUAGUCACUGCAUUGCAAUGGCGUGUCGCUGGCCUUGUUGGGGAGGAAGUAAGGAGAGAGAUCGUAGUCGCCGUGCUGGCUUUGCCGGAGGAACACCUUACAUUGGUCGAUCUCGCUCGCUAGAGCUUGCUCUUCUUCUUCUUCUUCAUCGCCUUGUUUCAUGGCGGACUCGAGGCAUUCCAAGGCGAGUUGGUGCUCCUGGAGAGCAGACAGUCCCCGUCCCUUGCUCCACAAGCUCCUCCUUCGAACGGCAAUGCCACCAUCACCAGAAAUGCUCAAGGCCAUGUCGGCGUCCGCCACCGCCUCCUCAAACUUGCCCAGCUUGAGCCGACACUCAGCCCUGCUGGAGAACACGUCCUUCUCCACCGGACCAUACGUGCUCGCGUCCCUGGCCGCGAACACAUCGAUGCACUCGGUGAAGUAGAGCUCCGCCAUGAGGAAGCUGCCCUUGGCCAUGAACCGGCUGCCUUCCCUGCGCAGCUCCUCCAAAGGCCUCCGCCGGAGCCUCUUGGCCAGGCCCAGGAAGUGGAGCGAGGCGGGGCUGGAGACGUGCAUGAUGGAGCGGUAGCACAGCGGCUCCUUGAUGGCGAGGCGGGCAUCGGUGGGAAACAUGGACUGGGCGGCGUCCUGCCUGGUGCAAGUGGAGGCGAGAGCGUUGAAGACGUGGAGGAAGGCGGCGCCGGCGUUGUCGGCGUCGUCGGCCUCGACGAGGCAGAGGAGGAGGCGGGAGUUGGGCACCCGGGCGGAGGCGCAGAUGUUGGCGUGGAUGACGCGGCCGUCGUAGCAAAUCUCCUUGCCCAGCUGCUGCGACCGAAUGUGGGCCUCGCGGAUGUCCAGCGGCUUGAGGCCCAGCAGCGGCGCGGCGGAGAGCUUGCACUUGUCGCUCAUGGCGGCGCCCGCCUCGCUGCACAUCACCUUGAACGCCCUCAUCAGCGACGCCUUGUCCAUCUCUAGGUUAAAAGGUUUAGGGUUUAAACGUACUUUGUCUCUAGUAUAUACUAUGUUUCUGUUUUUCAAAAAGCUGAGUAGCUAGGCCAACUACGUAUCUUCUUGUUAUAUAAUCUCCCACUUAGGUGUUGAAACUUUAACACCCGAGAGUAGGAUAAAAGGGGCUCCGUGCUGCUCAGCAAAUGUAGCAAUUAAAUGGAUCUCUUUCUGGUGCUUACGCUUACCAUCUCUGCUUAUACAUGCACAGGUGACACAAAUCACUUUAACAUUUUUCUUGAGUUGUAAGUAGCUCAAUUCUUUUGGUCUUGUUAUCCAGCAAUCAGUCCGGAAUCGAGCUCUGCCAUCCCACCUAUGAGUGAACCAUCUGUGCAGCUCAAAUGGAACUCCUAUGACUACAUCAUUGUGGGAGGAGGAACUGCUGGAUGCCCAUUAGCCGCCACACUCUCCCAGAGGUUCAAGGUUUUGGUCCUGGAGCGCGGAGGUUUCCCCGAUCCAAUCUCCACACGCCGAGACAGCUUUUUACUGACUUACGAAAACCAACUUGGCAGCAACACACUCGUCCAGGGAUUCGUUUCCACGGAUGGCGUUAGAAACGGCCGGGCUCGAGUGCUGGGCGGUGGAAGCUCAAUCAACGCCGGGUUUUACAACCGAGCGAGUCCUCAAACCAUAGCAGACAUGGGCCUCGAUGGGAGCCUGGCUAACGCGUCCUUCCAGUGGGUGGAGAGAAUUGUGGCGUCAUUCCCAGAGCUUGGGCCAUAUCAGAGAGCGUUCAGGCAGUCCCUGCUCGAGGCAGGAGUGACUCCUGACAACGGUGCCAGCUACGACUUUCAAGUUGGAACCCAAACCGGGGGAACGAAUUUCGAUAGCCAGGGGUUCCGGCGGCCAGCUUCAAUCUGUUUGUUUACGCCAAUCGUACGAACCUGGACGUUCUGCUCUACGCACAAGUUGAGCUCAUCCUUUUCAAAGGUUCAGUCUUUACGUGUUCACAAUGUUCACAAUGUUCCUAACCGCCAAAUCCAGGGCUUCGAGCUUAUGGAGUGCGGUAUACAGACUUCCUUGGCUUACCGCACACGGCUCUUCUUAGCAGACACCCCAAGAGUGAAGUGAUUUUGUGUGCAGGUGCACUAGGAAGCCCGCAGCUGCUCUUGCUGAGCGGAAUCGGGCCAGCAGACCAUCUGACAGCCAUGGGCAUCAAGGUGGUGUUGAACGCAACUGGAGUUGGACAACAAAUGAGAGACAACCCCACAACCCGUCUUGUUAUACUCUCGCCUUCCCCAGUGGAGUCGUCACUUGUGCAAGCCGUGGGAAUCACUGCAGCAUUUGGCACCUACAUCGAGGCUGCGAGUGGUGCUGCUGCAGCAGCUAUACCCGGUGCGCCAGUCGAGUACAUACUCCAGAAAGCCGCCGGACCUUUAUCUGUAGGCAAGCUUGUUUUGGGGUCCACGAUACCAUCGUGGGAGAUCUUUUCGCGUCUGGACAAUUGGAUGUCCGAGACAAUCCGAUAGUCACCUUCAACUAUUUCCAAAACCCCCAAGACCUGGCGACAUGCGUUGCAGGGGUGAACAGGGUCGAGGAGGCCGUUCUCACAAAUGCGUUCCGCCCUUUUGUGUUUGACAUUCAGCCUCUCCCAUCGGGAGGUACAGUUGGAUCGCCCAACCGGAGAAAUCCAGCAUUUGCGCCCACUCUGAACGCAACCAUAGCCACCUAUUGCGUGACAAACGUUGCAACCAUCUGGCACUAUCACGGUGGCUGCGUGGUUGGCCAGGUUGUGGAUUCCGACUAUAGAGUUUUGGGCACCCAAGGACUGAGAGUUGUCGAUGGUUCUACCUUCGUGUUUUCCCCUGGAACAAAUCCACAGGCUACAGUUAUGAUGCUUGGCAGGUACUGACUUCUUUUUCUUUUGGGAGUAUUUGCUGAGUGUAAGAUCUACAGGUAUGUCGGCGUAAAAAUCCUGGCAGACAGGUAAGAAAUACGCGGACCAUAUACGAAGUUUGCGUAAACUAAGCGAAAGUAAACGUAAGGCUUCAAAGAUUGACUUCCGUUGACUUCAAGGAUAUUGCUUAUAGUUACUGUACACCCGGUGAUACACUCCAUCAGUCUCAUGCUGCACGUAAAUAGAUAGAUAGAUAGAUAGAUAGAUAGAUAGAUAUAGACAGUAUAGUUGGAGAUCAUCCACCAAUGUGGACCAUGGGCCUGUUUGGUGUCUUUGCAAGCUCAAACAUCCCAGCAUGAGCUGCUUUCUUUCUCUUAACCUGCCAGGGAGGAAACGAAUAGAUACAUAUCAAGCCAUUCUUAUGGAUACUCGAGAACCCACCGCUAGACUGAUGAUUUGCUCGAGCUCAUCACUGGGAACGCCACUUCUUAACGCGUCCCUUAGGCUAACCUGUAAGCAGUGAAUCAGUGAGAGAUCAUCGAUCAGUUAUACAUGCAAAAGCACCUCGGCUGUUCCAAAGAGGCAGACUUUGAGAUUUCCAUCGGCCAUUAGUCUCAACCGAUUGCAUCCGCCGCAAAAGUGCUGUGUCAUGGAGCUUAUGAACGAGACAGAGCCUUGGUAUCCCUCGAUGUGGAAGUUCUUUGCAGUGUCGUUCGGAUGAUCACAGUGACGCUUGAGAGACGGGUAACGUUGGGCCUUCACAGCGAGAGCUAGACUUAGAGUUUGAUGGAAAUUUUUUGGCUUACCAGCCUCGAAUGCAUCUCGGCGUAAGAGACUAGUUUCUUGGAGCUCCACACGUUUCCGUCAAACGGCAUAAACUCGAUAAACCGGACGUUGAUCGGUUUGUGCCUUGUGAGCUCCGCAAAGUCGGCGAGUUCAUCGUCAUUGACGCCUCGCAUCACUACACAAUUGACCUGCUUGAACUUCAAUCCCAGGGAAGGAAACCAACGAAGUCACACAUGUACCUUGACGGGAUUAUAGCCCAGCUCCACUGCCGCAUCGAUGGAGUCAAGAACACGAUCAUGGCCCUUGCGCCGCGUGAGGAGCUCGAACUUUGCCGGGACCAGCGUGUCGAGACUGAUGUUGAGCUGAUUCAAUCCUGCCUGCUUUAGCUGCGGCAGCUUGCGCUCCAGAACCAGGCCGUUGGUUGUCAUGGCCAGAGUCUUGACACCGCUCAAGCCGCUCAAGCGAUGGCAUAUGUCCGUCAAGUCCGCCCUCACGGUGGGCUCUCCUCCCGUGAGCCGUAUCUUGUCCACGCCGCCGCCAACAAACACCUUGGCCAGAGCCACGAUCUCGUCCUGCGACAGCAGGUGUGCGCCGGGCGUGAGCUUCACCCCUUCCUCGGGCAUACAGUAGUGGCAGCGAAGGUUGCAGCGCUCCGUGAGAGAGAUUCGCAGGUAAUUGUGCCUCCUGCCGAAAGAGUCCACCAGCAUAUCCGACACACUCGGCCCCGCCUCGUCUUCUCGCUCCGCCGCCACACUGCUGCUGCUGCAGCUGCUACACGCGGCUUUCGUGGCCACGGAUCUUCCGCCCCCGCGCCAGUGAAAUCUGGAGGGGAAUCUACUCACCGCAUCGCGCAAUCCAGAGACGAGGCUCCUGUAGGAUCUUGUCAUCAUCGAUUAAACCCUAAGAAGGAACGCGCCACAUACAUACGCCUCUUUGUAAUUUAAAAUGGUAGGUCAAGGGGAAAAAGUAGCCCUUUUUCACCUUCGCGUAAUUUCUUGUAAUUUCGCCUCUUCGUUUCCACAGAGCCAUGCCACCUUGGCUUGGGCGGCCCUUCGCAACAGCGUUACAGCACCCAAAAUUAAAGUUGAUCUCCAGCUUCCAAAGCUUUAUAUUAAGCCAAAAUCCAAGCUAUUAUAUGUAUUUCAAUUUGACCAAGCACCUAGAAACGCUUAUAGCCCCUUGGAGAUCAUAGCGAGCCAGGGCGAGCUUGGCUGGCCUUCGCAACAGCAGUGGCGGCAGCACCACUUCCACGCCCAAAACUAAAGCCCCGAGUUCCGUCCGGCAUUCGAGGACCUGGCGGCGGCUUUGCUACCAUCGUUUCGCCAGUGGAAGGGCUGCAACUUAUCUGUGGAGAUGUCCCCAGCAUGCCACCGUUGGCGUUGAUCAAUCCUCCUCCGCCUCUCCCUCGCCCUCGGCCCCCUCGUCCACGACCUCUUCCCCCGGCCUGCUGCUGGACUCCACGCUUUGCACUGUCUUUCUCCGUGUCAGGAGCUCCCGUUGCCUAAGAACACGAAAGUCAGUGACGAGAGGAGGGAUGAAAAAUGCCAGUACCGUUGUUUCAUCUGUCGAUAGUGAUGCUUCUGAGGCGCCCUCACCUUUACUUUCCAGAUCCUCUUCGUCCGUCGAAGACUUUCGGCCCUUGGCUCCAUGAUUGUGCUUGCUGGCAGGAUACUGAAAACACUCCACAAGAGUUUUUCCUCAACUUCAUCCAAAGCGAAGUCCAUACCAUUCGUCUGAGCAGAAGACGUACGUGAAGACCGCUCCUCCAGUUUCGUUGGUCAGUCAGCUCCGCAACCUGAGCAAGCCGAUAAGAUAAUCCAAGUAGAAAAAAAAACAUUAUCUGCAUGACUUACAGCUUUCUCGGCUUGCUCCAGAGUCUCAUACUCUACCAGAGCAUGCAGCUUAUUACUAACAACUCUGUCGGUUUUAGAGUGCUUCGCCAAUGCAGCACUAUUGACACUGUUUGCAGAUCCUGGCUCGCACACUCUUACCAUUUUCACGCUGCCAGAACACAACAUGUCCAACAUGAACAAGAGCCCUCAAAAUCAGCGAGUACAUACCUUCCAAUCGUUCCAAAUAGCUUUUCUAGGCUUUGUAUGGAGUGAUCCUCCGGCAGGUUCUCAGCUACGACUGUUCGUCCCUUUAAAACGUAAAACAGAUCAGGUGGCUAGUUUCUAGCCAGUAGAAGGGCUUACCUGGAUUUCGUCAAGGUCAAUAUCAGCAAGUGGCUCAGCCCGCCUCACUUUCUUCCCGUCUUCGCUGACUACCUGGAACAUUUAAGAAUUUCAGAUACUUCUGGAAUAUUUGUGCGAACAACGUACAAGUUUGGAAGAGGAUCUUAGAGCUGCAGCUAAAGCACCGUAAUUCUUUGUAAGCUGCUUGAUCUUUCUGAACGAUCCAAUGAUCGGUAUCGGAACUGUCCAAAACGAAGGCUGUAAAAAGCUUGUUUCCACGAACAGAAUAGGCGGGCCUUACCGAAACCUUCAGGAUCCUUUUUGAUGAACUUCAUCAAGUAGUUAUCUGUUGGAAGGUUGGCAUCACUGAAAUAAAACUCCACCUAUCACAAACCGUCAGCAGGAAAGACUAUGUAGAAAGACAACGAGACUUCACCUGCUGGACGACUUGAGUGCGAGUAUCUUCACUGAGAGCAGACGACUUCUGAGAGGACGAUGGCACCGAAGCAUUCUGGUCAUCCACGUCCACAACCGAGGGAGCUUCCGGCGGAGAUGGCUGGACUGGCACUGGUGGAAACGAGAGAACACCUGGCUGACCAGGCUGCAAAGCCGCGGGAGGAGGCUGAGGAGACGUCGCCUUGGGAACAAAGACCGGUGCUCCAGCAUUUAGUUUGCUCAGAGAAAUCUGCCGAGUGAGUGUUUGAUUCUGCUGCUGCUGCUCGGGCACAACACCGGGAUCACUCCCAGAUCCGGUAUCGACACUGGGUGUGUCCACGCCUUUUUGCGUUUCGGUGAUGUCCGAAUCCGAUUUGGCAGUGCUCACUUCUGCCACUGCCUUUGCGAGCUCAGACUUUACGACCCAGACGCCAGCCCCGCGAUUCACCACCUUGUUGUGCUUUGGAGCAGCAAAAGCUGUGGUGGCGGCGGCGGCAGCAGUCAUGGCGUUGUCGCUUCUCGAUGGCGAUGAUGACGAUUCCGUUUGCUGCAUCAAGGUUCCUCCUGAUUCAGCCAUGGAUCGAUCGGCGUCAGCGAUGGAAUGACCUAAACGGGUGAGCUACGAUUCCAAAAACCCUAGUGAAAGAAGAAGGCCGCCAUACCUCACCAGUGGCCGCCAGGCAAUGAAUUCAACUGUGCCCUCGCCGCGCCCGCCGCCGCGCCAAUGGAUCGAUCCACGGAAUGGAGGAAGGAGACCGCGAAUGGCAGCGAUCGAUCGAUGGACUGGCGGUGUGUGUGCGUGACACUCGCUCCGUCUGUGGCUAUGGCGAUGAAGCUCCGAGCGAUGAUGCCCUAGUGGCGGUGGCGGCAGAGAGAGGGGGAGGGUCGCGCCGCGCCUCCUUCCCCUUCUAGACACACUACAUGUCCUCCGUUUUAUACUGGCACGUCAGCCGUACAGGUGGUCGUGUUGUCCAUUUCGAUCCACCGUACGGACAUUUUCUUUUUUGCCUAUAGUGUGCCCUAGAUUUCGGGUUUUAGGGUUUUAGCGAUGAGCAGCACGAGGAGAGCGGCAAAUGCCGCAUUCCAGGUCUGGCACCAGCGCUCCUUCUCUUCCGGUUGGAUUUCGGCGCUGCUGUCGAGAGGGAAUCUUCCUCCUCCUCUGGCUGCUCCAUUUUCCCCAUGGAUCCAGGCGCGCUACAUGGCCGCUCUUGCUCGCCCCGCCGCACUGGAUCAGUCGUGGCGAGACACGAUGAACAAGAUCCGAAAUAUCGGAAUCUCGGCUCACAUAGACUCUGGCAAGACGACUCUUACGGAGCGCAUCUUGUUCUACACCGGGCGGAUCGAUUCCAUCCACGAGGUGCGUGGCAAGGAUGGCGUCGGCGCCAAGAUGGAUUCCAUGGACCUGGAGCGCGAGAAAGGGAUCACCAUCCAGUCCGCAGCGACGCACUGCGUUUGGGGUGACCACCAGGUGAGAUGGACGUUUUUCAUUCCCUUACAAAGUUUCGACUUUGUUUCUUUCUAGAUCAACAUCAUCGAUACUCCUGGGCACGUCGACUUUACGAUCGAAGUGGAGCGAGCUUUGCGCGUGCUGGAUGGCGCAAUUCUUGUGCUGUGCAGCGUGAGUGGUGUGCAAAGCCAGUCCAUUACUGUAGACCGGCAAAUGAAGAGAUACGAUGUACCUCGUCUGGCGUUCAUCAACAAGCUCGAUCGCGCUGGUGCCGAUCCAUGGAGAGUUAUCGAACAGGUGAAAACUCUAGGUGCAUCCUUUCGUUCUUUAUAAUUGUUUGUUUCUUUUGGCAAAUUAGCUUAGGAGCAAGCUGCGCCAUAACUGUGCCGCUGUGCAAAUGCCAAUUGGUCUUGAGGGCGAACAUCGGGGUCUCGUUGAUCUCAUCCACGAAAGAGCGUUUUAUUUUGAAGGAGCUCACGGGUUCGUGUGUUUAUUACUUUAGACGUAUUUCAACAAACAUCUUCGUACAGGGAAAAACUUGUCCAGAAGGAAAUCCCUCCCGAGCUAAUGAAAGAGGCAGCUGACAGGCGGCGAGCACUUAUUGAAAUUGUGUCGGAAGUUGAUGACGAUCUUGCAGAAAGAUUUGUCAACGACGAACCGAUAACGCCAGCUGAACUUGAAGUAAGAUGUCUGCAUUUUCUUUUUUUGUUAUGAGCUCGGCAGGAUUGCUUGGUUUACAGGCGGCGAUUCGACGAGCUACAAUAGCGUUACGGUUCACUCCAGUUUUUAUGGGUAGUGCCUUCAAGAACAAGGUGAUGGUCAUGGUCAUCAUUCAUGGGUUCUGUAAACGAAAGUUUUGGUGCAGGGUGUCCAACUGCUUUUGAACGGAGUGUGCUCAUUUCUGCCGUGUCCCACCGAGGUCUCAAAUUACGCCUUGGAUCAAAAUAAGAAGGAAGAAAAGGUCAGCCUGAUGAACUUGUAACAUUGAGUUUUGUUUGAUGUUUUAUUGUUUCUAGGUUGCGAUAACUGGGUCUCCAACUGGUCCCUUCGUAGCUCUGGCCUUCAAACUUGAAGAAGGCCGGUUUGGACAGCUGACGUAUUUGAGGUAAUGGCUGUUCUUCAUUUCAAGUUGAUAUCUAGCAAUCUUCGUUUAGAAUUUAUGAAGGCACAAUUAGGCGUGGGGAGAAUCUACUCAAUGUUGUUACUGGCAAGAAAGUUAAAGUCAGUAACAUCGGUUGCCAUUCUAUCCUUUUGCUGAGCAUGACUCUGGCCAUUGCAGGUUCCAAGACUGGUGAAAAUGCACGCAGAUGACAUGGAGGUAACUUGUCUUUCGUAUUUUAUCUAGCUCAGUCUUGCUGGACAGGACAUCCAAUCGGCACAUGCUGGAGAAAUUGUUGCAAUGUUUGGGAUAGAGUGUUCGUCAGGUUCUGCUUGAUUGAUGCUUGCUUGUGCAUCUUGAGGUUAUUAUCGUUGGGUUUUCCAGGCGAUACCUUCACUGACGGUUCAGUAAGGUAUACAAUGACGUCGAUGACUGUUCCCGAACCGGUCAUGUCUCUCGCGAUCGCUGUUUCGUCAAAGGAUGCAUCAGCUCAGGUUCACAAUGUCUUCUAUUUGGUUUUUACACAAGCCGAUUCUUUUGUAUGGCAGUUUUCCAAGGCGCUGAACCGAUUUCAGAAGGAAGAUCCUACCUUCCGUGUUAAGCUAGAUCCGGAAAGUGGACAGGUAUGGAUGUUGUAUGCUUCAGUAAUAUUUUUUCUGACCGUUUGUCUCGUUUCAGACCCUCAUUUCGGGGAUGGGGGAGCUGCAUCUUGACAUUUACGUGGAACGCAUGAAGAGAGAAUAUAAGGUUGACAGGUGCACUUCUGUUUUGCUCUUCAUGACGCUGAAGCUAUCAGGUAGAAGCAAGUGUUGGCAAGCCUCAAGUGAACUUCAGAGAGGCCAUCAGCACCAGGGCGGAUUUCAACUAUUUACACAAGAAGCAAAGUGGUGGCCAGGGUCAAUACGGUCGCGUGGAAGGGUGAGCUUCUCUUGCUUUUCCAUGGCUACUAUACUAAUCUUGCUGGAUAAAUAAACAGCUACAUUGAACCGCUUCCAGAGGAUUCCGAAGUCAAGUUUGAGUUUAAAAAUAUGCUUGUCGGUCAAGCAAUUCCAAACAGCUACAUUCCUUCAAUCGAAAAGGGAUUCAUCGAGGCUUGCAACUCGUAAGCUAGUGUUUGUACUCGUGCUCCUGGUGAUUGACAAAACGGCUGCUUUCUUUUGCCAGGGGCUCAUUGAUUGGCCACCCCGUUGAAGGAAUUCGUAUUGUCCUGACCGACGGUGCUGCUCAUGCGGUAGAUUCCAGUGAGCUUGCUUUCAAGCUGGCUGCUCUGUACGCAUUUAGACAGGUAAAACACAUCCCUUAUUGUUAUAAACUUUUGAUAGAACACGUGCCGUUUUGCUGUCUAGUGUUACCCUGCUGCCGAUCCUGUCAUUCUAGAACCAGUCAUGCUUGUCGAGAUCAAAGCCCCGACGGAGUUCCAGGGACCUGUGGUUGGCGACAUCAACAGGUAUGGCAUUAGCGUUAGUUCUUCUCUUGCUCUAACACCACGGCGGCGACAGGCGCAAGGGCAUGAUCGUCAACAGCGAGCAAGAGGGCGACGAUGCGGUUAUCACGUGUCACGUAAGUCUUUCGUGCCCGAGUUGUAUCAGCUAACCUUUUGUUCUGGAUUUCCAGAUUCCUCUCAACAACAUGUUUGGAUACUCGACGUCGCUGCGAUCAAUGACUCAGGUUUGUCAAUCUCAGAGUUUGUGUAGGUGUCCACAUUAAAAAUGUGUCACGGUAAGCAGGGUAAAGGAGAGUUUACAAUGGAGUACUACAAGCACUUGGGUGUGUCGGCCGAGGUCCAAAGGCAGCUAGAGACGAGCCACAAGAAGGGCAGCGAUGACAAGAAAUAAAAAAUACUAGGAAUCAUUUGAUCGAUUCGAUCACGAGCACACAACACUAAUUUAAACGAAAGUGUAAUAAAUUUGAAUUCCCCGCCAUUUUGGUUUAGGGUUCUUGCGAUGGAGGAGGCUGGAUCGCCCGAGUCGAGCAAGAAGCGGCAGCGGGAGGCGAGCGCCGAGAUGGAAGCCAGCAUCCAGCAGAUCCAGCACAAGAUCGAGCAGUUCACGCAGCAGGUACUUGGCGAUAAAUUCCCCCCUCCGCCAGCUUGCUCGAUCGAGAUUACAUAGGUGUCUGGUCUCUUGGAGGCCGGGAAGUCCUUCUUCACCGAAGUAGCCAGCGCGUUCGAGGAGAGCGUCGUCCAGUAUCCUUGAUCUCCUAUCGAUCGCUUGCGUUUUCUUCCCUUGAUCUCUCGCGCAGAUUGCACCAGAAGCAAGUGGAGAAAUGGGAGGAGGAGAUUGGGAUGCUGCGCGCCGUGGAUGCCGUCAACGAGGAGAUGAGCGCCAGGCUGAGCAACGCGCAAUCGCUCAUCAGCAGCACCGUCACAGCUGUGGAUCACGAGUAGAAAUUUAAAAUGGAGCUAGAUUUUGCUCAAGAACCCUAAAAUGCCAGGGAAAUCUCUCUCUUCCAGGGUUCUAGGCCAGGGUUCAAGAUGGAGCGAUGCAGGUAGCGCGGUCAGGCGCCGCCGCAGCAUCAUCACUGCGACGAGCAGCAAUCCAGCGCCUUGGCGUGGAGGAUUUGACGGCGGCAGUGUCGCGGAUCAUCGCGGAUCAAGGCCACUGCGCGCCCAGUACUUACGGCUGCCUCCUCCAGGCAUGCGGUCGGCUGCGCGCCCUCAAGCAGGGCCAGCGCCUCCACGCUCACAUCCUCUCGCGGCGCAUCGACCUCCACAACCACAGCUUCCUCGCCAGCGAUCUCAUCGUCAUGCACGCCAAAUGUGGCAACCUCGCCGAGGCAGAGGCCCUGGCGGAUCGAUUCGCGAGCGUCUACUCGUGCACGGCCAUGAUCCGGGCGUGGAUGGAGCACGGCCGCCCCGACAAGGCCAUGGAGCUCUUCGAUCGGAUGGAAGUGAGGCCCAAUUGCCACGCACUCAUCGCGCUCGUCAACGCGUGUUCUUGCCUGGGCAAUCUGGCAGCGGGGCGGAGAAUCCAUUCGCAGAUCAGCGACCGCGACUUCGAGGAGAACUCCGUACUGGGCAAUGCGCUCAUCAGCAUGUAUAGCAAGUGUGGGAGCCUCAUCGACGCGAAACAGGCCUUCGAUCGGUUGCCAAGAGCUUCCAAGCGCGACGUCGUGACUUGGAAUGCCAUGAUCUCGGCGUUCCUCCGCAAUGGAUCCGCGCGAGAGGCGCUCCAGCUGUUCCGGGACAUGGACCGCGACGGAGCUCCGCCACCCAACAGCGUCACCUUUGUCAGCGUCCUGGAUUCGUGCGUGGAGGCGGGGCUCUUGUCGCUCGAGGACGUGAGGGCGAUCCACGGCAGGAUCGUGGGCGCUGGGAUCGAGAGGGAGGCCUUCGUUCGCACGGCGCUGGUGGACAGCUAUGGGAAACUUGGCAGCCUCGACGACGCGUGGGAAGUGUUCCUCCGGAAGGGCGACGAGGAGCCCAGCACCAGUCUGGUGACAUGCUCGGCCAUGAUCUCGGCGUGCUGGCAGAAUGGAUGGCCCCAGGAGUCACUCCGGCUCUUCUUCGCGAUGAACUUGGAAGGAACAAAGCCCAGUGGAGUGACGCUCGUCUCGGUGCUCAAUGCCUGCUCCAUGCUGCAGGUUGGGUCGGCCACCGCAUUCGUUCUCGAGCAGGCCAUGGAGGUCGUCUCGGCCACCAGGGACAACGUUCUCGGCACGACGCUGCUCACCACUUACGCUCGAUCCAACGACUUGCCGCGAGCAAGAGCCACGUUUGAUGCCAUCCAGAGUCCCGACGUCGUGUCGUGGAACGCCAUGGCUGCGGCCUAUCUCCAGCACCACCGUUCCCGAGAGGCGCUCGUUCUGUUCGAGCGAAUGCUGCUGGAAGGCGUGAGACCAAGUGUUGCAACCUUCAUCACUGCUCUCACUGCCUGUGCUGCCUAUCCUCCUCAAACCGCUAGCGCGAUUGGGAAGAGGAUUCAGUCGCUGCUGGAGGAGGCCGGGCUCGAGGGAGACACUGCAGUCGCCAACGCCACCCUCAACAUGUACGCCAAGUGUGGAAGCUUGGCUGAUGCUCGGGCCGUGUUUGAAAGGAUAUCUCCCGCUCGCCGGGACUGUAUCACCUGGAACUCGAUGCUGGCGGCCUACGGACACCACGGGCUUGGAAAGGAGGCGUUUGAGCUCUUCCAGGCGAUGGAGGCCGAGAAGCUGGUGAAACCAAACAAGGUGACUUUCGUUGCGGUUUUGGACGCGAGUACUAGCCGGACGAGCAUCGCCCAAGGCCGGGAGAUCCACGCCCGUGUCGUGAGCAACGGGUUUGAGUCGGACACCGUGAUCCAAAACGCGCUGCUCAACAUGUAUGCCAAGUGCGGAAGCUUGGACGACGCACAAGCCAUCUUUGACAAGUCGAGUAGCAACCAAGAGGACGUGAUCGCUUGGACGAGCCUGAUCGCCGGGUACGCGCAGUAUGGCCAGGCGGAGAGGGCUCUCAAGCUGUUUUGGACGAUGCAGCAGCAGGGCGUGAGGCCCAACCACGUAACUUUCAUCAGUGCUCUCACAGCUUGCAACCAUGGUGGGAAGCUCGAGCAAGGAUGCGAGCUCCUGUCCGGCAUGACACCCGACCACGGCAUCCUUCCCGCCUCCAAGCACUUCAGCUGCAUCGUCGAUCUGCUGGGACGGUGUGGGCGACUGGACGAGGCCGAGAAGCUGCUGGAAAGGACGUCCCAAGCCGACGUGAUCACCUGGAUGGCUCUUCUCGAUGCUUGCAAGAACAGCAAGGAGCUGGAGAGAGGAGAGCGCUGCGCGGAGCGGAUAAUGCAGCUCGACCCCGAGGUGGCGUCGAGUUACAUCGUUCUGGCGAGCAUGUAUGCUGCUGCGGGUCGGUGGAAUGAGGCCGCCACUAUCCGCAAGACAAUGCUGGACAAAGGAAUUCGAGCAGACCCCGGCUGCAGUGCUGUGGAGGUGAACCAGGAGCUGCAUUCUUUCUCGGCCGGAGAUAAGUCCCAUCCCAAGUCGGAGGAGAUCUACUUGGAACUGGAACGGCUUCACUGGAGUAUCAAGGCCGCUGGCUACGUCGCUGACACUGGGCUGGUGCUGCACGAUGUGAGCCAGGAGCACAAGGAGAGGCUGCUCAUGAGGCACAGUGAGAAGCUGGCGAUUGCAUUUGGACUGAUGAGCACCCCCAGUGGAUCACCCCUCAGAGUGAUCAAGAACCUCCGCGUCUGCAGCGACUGCCAUACAGCAACCAAGUUGAUAUCCAAGGUGACUGGACGUGACAUCCUGAUGAGAGACUCGAGUCGCUACCACCACUUCACCAGCGGAACCUGCUCGUGUGGUGAUUACUGGUGACGAAACAGACACAGAUUGGGCCGACUAGCGCUACUUAUGGCUGAUAGGAGAUGGAGUACGAGCCUGUUUCCGGGUCCUUAACGCUCUUGAAAUUGUCAACGCUCAUACCAAAUCGACCCAGGACAGAGUUUCCAAGCUCCUUGAGCUUCCCUGGAGUCCAGGUUAUUAGUCUCCAUUCUCAUCAACCAAAAAGCUUACCCAGCAUCUCUUCUUUCAUCUUUUCACGUCGCUCGGCUACAACUGGUUCUAAUCGUCUCACCGCCUUGGCUGCUUCUUUAUUUGCCGGAUCAAGCUCCAGCACCUUCUUCAUAUCUGUAAUGAUCAAGUAAGAGGUUGUCCGCCAAGGAAGAAAGCUUAGCUUAGCCUACCGGCAAGGGCGUCUUCUAGCUUGUCCACUUUUUCGUGAGCUUGCGCUCUCCUUAAGAAUGCCUUGAUGUAAGCCGGAUUCAAUUCGAUGGCUUUGGAACUCUCGUGAACUGCUUCUUCGUACUCGUCCUGCCAGCAAAAGAAAAGCAAAGUGAUGAGAAUCAAAAAGAGCAACACCCAAGCUCCCUCACAAUCUGUAGAUAACACAUUGCCCGGUUACACAGACACAUUGAGCAGAUUUCCUUUGCAUUUGUGUUGUUGUUGUCAGCCAAGAGCUCCAAAGCACCUUGGUAGGCCGCGAGCGCGUCUCGAUACCUCCCUUGCGCGUACGCCGCAUUCCCCUCGGCCUUGGCACGCUCUGCCAGGGGAACAUCCCUCUGGAAACAAGGGGCCAGUCGGGAAUCGGGAUCAAUCAAUCGACCUGGAAUCUCUCUCACCUCGCGCUGCUGAUCCUCCGUCAGUGCGUCCUCGAACCGAUCCUCGCCAUCGCUAGCCGUCUCCCACCCCUCGGCGGCGACGCCGGGCGGCGCCCUCUUCGUCUCCUCCUCCUCCUCCUCUUCUUGGAUUCGCACCAUUGUUGGAAUAAAAGAGCCCUAGAGAUGCGAUUUUAACAUCAUUUGGACAUUGGACAUAAACUAUAUGAUGUGGCAAAAUGAUGAUUAGGUCUAUCAAAGGAAAGUAUUUAAGUGGGAGGGGCGGUAUAUGCUCGGCACGGGUAUAAUGUUUGUGAGAGGUAAGCUAGGGAUGGUUCGUUAAGCGCGAACGAGGGCAAGGGUUUUUGUGCUCGGGAGAGGGGGCGCGCGGCAAAGCGGAGCGCGGACAAGAGGAGCUAUCGCCGUGGCUGCGCGAACCAUGUAAGUUCCUCGAUCGUCUCUCCGAUUUGUCUCCCGGAAAUUAGGGUUUAAGGGAAUGUAGGCGUCCCUUCUUUCCUCUGGCUCCUCCUUCCCAGCUCGCUCUCUCGCUGCAUGUAGUUUCCAUCCAAAGGGGAUGAGCUAGCGACGCGCGAGCGCAUCAAAAUGUAGCUGUGUAGCUCGCGCAUACAGAGGGUUUAUACUCGUGCUCGUCUUUUUUGCCAUUCAAGGUUUUGGGCGACGGUGAGGAGCUUCGUCGAGGCUUAUGGGGUCGGGAAACACGUUUCACAGCGGUGCUACGUCGGCUGCUCCAUCCAUUUCCAUGGCGUUUUCUGAGAGCGGGGGCUGGUCUUGGUUCCGUGGGGGGCCUGCAAAGGGAGACGAGUUGCCACCGGAGGAUCACUGGUCCGAGGACAAGGAGAAGAGCGCGAGCUGGGCGGUAAGCGAUGACGUGCCCGAGCACCGGAGCGUGCCAUCCGGUCUUGCUUCCCCACAGAUGACACAGGAAGCCGCCGUUGCCGCCGCCGCCGCCGUCGACAAGGCAGGUGACAACAUUGGCGUGAACAUUUUCUCGAGUUCAUUGCCUGACUUGUUCCGAAACAAACGUAAGCUUUCGUAAGCCUCCCUCGCACAUUCUCUGCUUACCAUUGUUUGCCUGUGUUUGCAGUAGGACUGCUCGAUGUUCAACAGCCGCCCUCAUCGGAGGCCGACGAGGAACCUGAAGACAAUGAGAUUCCUCUGGAAGAACUGGAGCUGCAUGCUAUCGGCAGUCUGCUUCCUGACGACGACGAGUUGUUGGCCGGUGCUCUCACUGAUAUGCCACCGGGGUCGUCCAGCACCCAGGAUUCAGAGGAUCUCGACUUUUUCAGCAACGGAGGGGGCCUUGAACUCGACGGUGAUGGCUUUUCUGCCGAAGAACCGACUUCGCGCACGAUUUUUGUACGGAAUAUAGAUAGUAAAGUUUCGGAUGACGAGCUUAGAGCUGUUUUUGAGGUGAGUAUCGGAAUUAUCGCCGCCUGCGGGCUUACUGACCUUGAAUGCUUCCUCGUGUGCGCAGCGUUUUGGUGACAUUCGUACGCUGUACACUGGAUGUAAACCCGAAGGUUUGAUUUUAGUCUCCUACUACGAUUUGCGGGGUGCCAAGCGCGCGAUACGUGCGCUCCAGAGCCGGGUGCUGUGGGGCCAAAAGUUGGAGAUGCACUUCUUAUUUCCAAAGGUGCGUUACCUACCUUUGUUUUCGCUGUAUACUGAGACUGGACAAUUUGCAGGAUAGUCACCCAUACGACACAAGCCUUGGCAUGGUUGCGGUUUUCAAUGUCGAUCCCGCCGUGUCAAACGACGAUCUCAAAGAACUUUUCGGAGUGUAUGGGGACAUCAAGGAGGUAAACCAUCUAUACUGCUAGGCAUGGCGUUUGUAAGCUGGCCGUUUUUGUUUUGUAAGCAGGUCCACGAGACGCCGCUUAAACAUCGACACAGGUUCAUCGAGUUCUAUGAUUCACGAGCUGCAUGCGCUGCGCUUCGGGUUCUGAAUAAGCGUGAUCUACUCGCCAGGCGAACUCGACUGGACCCGAGGUAUGAAGUGCUGGUGAAGUUAUCCGCUGCUAGUAAAGCUUACCUUCCCUACCUUCAGCUCAAUAUUGCAGUUCAACGAUGACGUUGAUAACGAUGAUCCUCUCGUGCAGUCUCAGCAUCUGUUCAAUGCGACAGGUUGGACAAAUCUUUUUUUCCUUUGCUCUUAGCAUUUACUUUCCUUCAUUUGCAGGCUAUAGUGAAAGCGAGGCUUUGAGGGAGCUUCACCAGCAGGCGAAGUUUGCGUCGUUUAGCCACCCUUGGAACUCCCUGGCGGGUGGUUUAUCUUCACCAUCCUCCGUCAUGGGAAAAGCUGGUGAUGUUGGGCUGGGCUAUCACUCGUAUCCGGAUUUUGAUUACGGCCUUAUGAACCAUAUUCGGCAGAGCUCGGCCAUGUCAGCUUUACGUGCACGUGAAGGACUGGAAGAGAUGCCUCUUCAUAGGAGUCCUGGUUACGAGCAUAGAGGUAGCGCCUUUCUUUCCUCACCUCUUGUGGAUCUCAAUUCUGUGUUGUUUCUCAGGCCUGGCAGUAAAUCCUCGACCAGGAUUGGUGACAACGCCAAGCUCGCCUUUCCUGUGGGGCAAUGCUCCGCAGAGCUCUCCGUUGCUGUGGCCACCAUCAGCUCAUUUGUAUGGUCAUCCAAAGGUUCAUGGUUGCAGCCUGCAGAGCCACUUACUCAAUCCGGUCCUGGCUUACCCUCAAGUAGGAUGCCUACCUUACGGUGAGAAGUUACGAGACAGAAGGCGCGGGUAUUUAAGGCAAUCGGCGCCUGGAGGAUACCUCGGGCUUACAGGGUCACUGAGGCUGGGGUCAAGAAGUCAUCCUGAUCGCAAGAGUGAUUUGUCGAAGGGCGCUCUUUCCAGCGGCGUGGGCCGAUUCAACAGCCGGCACAGAAGCCGCAGAGGCGACAGUAACGCAGCGGACAAAGAACAGUUUCACCUGGACCUGGAUCGUAUAGUCAGCGGAGAGGACAAGCGUACGACGCUCAUGCUUAAAAAUAUUCCGAACAAGUGAGUACGCUCGAGAGUCACGAGUGGUUUGUGUUCUGAGGCUCGUGUUUGCAGAUACACGUCGAAGAUGCUCUUGGCAGUGAUCGAUGAGGCAAACCAGGGCACUUACGAUUUUAUCUACUUACCAAUCGACUUCAAGGUGUGUGAUUUGUCAUAUGAUAUUCUGGACUAACCUUACGCUGCAACGCAGAACAAGUGCAAUGUGGGGUACGCUUUUGUGAAUAUGAUAGAGCCUUCCUACAUUGUCUCGUUUUAUAAGGUAAGCAACACAGCAGGCUUGGAUCGCGACGCUUACCGUUGUCUGUUAUCCAGGCUUUUAAUGGCAAGAAAUGGGAAAAGUUUAAUAGUGAGAAGGUUGCAUCGGUAGCUUAUGCUCGAAUUCAAGGCAAAGCCGCUCUUGUGGCUCAUUUCCAGAACUCGAGCCUGAUGAACGAAUGUCGUCCUAUAGUGUUCGGCGAAGAAGGGAACACUCCGGACGAUCCAGGCAAAGAAAUCGGUUUGUAACUCGAGUUUUCUCUGUUGUAUUGUUCCUAAUGGUUACUACUGUUACAGGGAUUGUAAUGGGUUCCGAGGAAGCGACGAAACUGUAAAACACGUGAGGGUAACACAGAGAGGCAAGGAAGAUGAUGAGCACCUCUUCAAGCGAAGGUUUUGAUGUAGAUUCCUUAGGACUGGCUCAUCCAUCUAUCGUUGAGGUUCCAGUUUUUUUCCUUUCGUUUUUCUUUUUUAUCUUUUUCUACGUUCUUCCUUUUGCUUGUAAAAAAUAAUGAGCUAGUCAUGGAAGAAGAUCCGGCAGCCGCGGUAGCAGCAGCAGAUUUUAUGUAAAAAGAUCAGAAGAAGAAAGUUUGGUGUUCGGCAAUCAGUGGCAGUGUUGAUCUCCGUUAGUUGGUUGGAUUGGAGAGGGAGAGAGUUUUUCAGGCCUUUGGUGGUGGCUCUACCUUUGUAGCUCCAUCAGAUUUUGUAGUAAUGGUUUCUUUCGUUUUUUCCAGUCUAAGAUGAAUUAUCUUGGAUGGUGACUUUCCAUGUGGGAAUGACAGGAGCACAUUUUCUUGGCGCUGCUGUUUUGAAUGGAGACGUCCCUUUUUCUCAGCUCUUGCAGCUCGGCUCUGCGGCCUACCUAAAGCUGACACGCCGAAGUUGAAGUCUUGGUUGCUUUCCACUUUUGCCAAAAGAGACUUCGCAGCGCAUCGUCUUUGUAUGUAUCUCUAACGCAGGUUUUGUUUGGACACAACAAACACUCCAGCGGCUAUAAUACAAAUCCUGCAUCGCAACCGUGUGACAGUCUCGCGUGGGGAGACGUGUGAUGGAUGACCUCUAGCACUAGCUAGCAAAGUUAAUGAACGGAUAGCUAGCAGCCAUCGUAGCUUGAUUGCACCUGGCCGAGCUUGGGCUUGCCCUGCUGCAAGCAAGUCACUUGUGGGACCGUGGGUGAGAAGAUCUCGCCGUAAGAAUUCCAGCAAAAGGCUGGAAUGUCGUCGUAGCCCCUGGCUGAGAGGAGCUCGACGUUGGCCACCACGAUGCCGACGCAGGGGACGCUGUCGCUGCAUGCAAAGUGGAUGUUGCUCUUCUGCGUGUAGGUGCCCCGGAUGUUCUUGUAGGAAACGUCCGAGAUGGAGACCCCGGAUGUCUGGUUGUGGCAGCUCCGGCCGUCGCAGUAGAACUGGUCGAUGACGAUCGGAUUGCUCACGUUGAGCACGGCGAUGUUGUGGAAAUGGACGCUGCUCACGGAGCCAGACCCGCCCUGGUUGCACGAGCAUUUGUGUAUGACAAGGAACCGAAACAAGAAACGAGAGAACCUGCCAGGUCUUGAUGCGGACUCCGUUCUGGGAGGUGUGAACUACAACGUCGUGGACGGAGACGUCGGAUACACAGGCCUUGGUUCCUCCUCGUCCCAGCCCACCAAUGCUGGACAAGAGAGCGCGAGUGUGUGAGAAAAACUUGUGUGUCUACAAGGUACCUUAUGCCGUGGCCCGGACCACACAUCAUGUCGAAUAUCUCAAUGUUGGAGCAGCCAGUCUGGAUGGAAACGCAGUCGUCUCCUGCACAAUCUCGAGCUGUCAAAAACUUAAACUCUUUCUCCUCGACCGUUUGCUUACCAGUUGACACCCGGGAGCUCCGCACGGCCGCGUAUCGUGUGUCCUGCAGGUGAAUCCCAUCGGUGUUGGGGCUGGUGUAGGGAGAAGAGAUGGUCACAUUGUUGACGACGACACCUUGGCAGCUGUCGAACUUGAGAUGCGUUUGGGGGCUGUUGACAAUGGCCAAGUGCUGCACAACCACGUUGCUGCUGCCAUAGAAGCGUACAGCCUGCGCAGGGGCAGGGGACUCACAUUAUCACGCAGUCCGAGCGUAAGAUCUGAAAGAAUAUGUAUGUAGUUGUUGGAACUAACUUACAGUUGGGAUAUCACAGGAUUUGGAUGUCUUGUGACCCUGCGAAAUCAAGUUGCAAGUUCCAUUUGCCAGGCGUCAGAGAACUUAUUUCUAGUCCCUUACCUUUGCCUUGCAAGAAGAAUUCCACCACGCAGGGCCAUUUCCAUUUAUCGCGCCAGUGCAGCUCCCCUGGAGGAGUAAUCCGUGAACUCUCGCAAACUCGAUCCAUUGGAGCAAGCUCGUUCCGUUCCAGGCCUUGGCGCUAGUUGGAGCGACGAUGGUGCCAUCCACCUGAGAGAGAGAGAGAGAGAGAGAGAGAGAGAGAGGGAGAGAGAGAGAGAGCCUUUUAAGAGACAACACUCUGACUGUAGGGAUUUCAGAACAAACAGACCUGAAAGACGAGAUUGUUUUGGCAUGGCCCCGAGAAGACAAGCGGCUUCACCAAGAACACAAAAUUCGCAGGAACUUCAACCAUGGAGGAUUCCACCUUGCAUGCUUGGUUCCAAGCUGCUAGGAAUGCCUGAGGCCAGACAAUGUGAGGAAACCGAGAAAGAAGAAGAAGAAAAGCCUGCCGCUUACGUGCGUAUCAUCGGUGACUCCAUCUCCUUUAGCUCCAAAAGAGAGAACGUCGUAGAUGUUGGUGCUGUAGUAGCCAUAUCCUCCAUUGCUUGGCUCAGGUGCUGCUGCUGGACCUCCUCCAUCUCCUCCGCUUUUGUGCCCGAUUGUUGAGCUCGAUCCUCCUCCUCCUCCUCCUCCUCCAGCAUACUUGGAGCGACCACUUGAUCUUGCAUCGACCACCAGGAACGCCACCACUAGUGUGACAAGCCUCCAAAGGGCCAUUGUCAUUCCUUCUCCCUCUCCCUGUCUGAGAAGGAAAGACAAGCGUAUCAGAGAGCUCUGUAUUUAUACUUACACAUCCGCUGGAACACAGGCCCGUGACAAGCUGCAGCGCUGUUCACUGUUCCAGUAUUUAACGUCGAAACUUGCGGAAGAGAGAAAAAGUAUUCUUUUUCUUCUUUCUUUUCUGUGUUUUUAUUCCCUUUCACAAGCAAUUCACCUUUGCUCUUCAGUACAACAGUCUGCUUCUCGUCUGUUAGAUGUAAGGACCAAGGUUACCAUCCCAAAAUUUCCCUAGACAGAAAAAUCACCGUCGUCCAAGAGAAUGUAAGCUCUACAGUCACGACAAUCAAUUUCGACCCCAAAACCGUCCUCCAAUUUUCAUGCUGAGUAGUAAACUCGAGGUUUAGUGCCACCGUGAUUUGCGUUCCAUAAAUCUCGAGCACGGUGUCACACUCCAAUCCCAGGUCAAUUUGACUUUGAUGGAAACUCUCUGCCAAUCCAGUGCUACAACGAUUCUUUUGCCAGAGAGGGGCCCUGCCCAGACCUGUUUCAAGGAUUUAAAUCAGCUCAACACUCGAAGGAGUUUUCCAGAUGUUUAAAUGGGAACGCCGCGAGACUUAAGCGCCCGUUGCCAACCUGAAGCAUAUCAGGAUCCAGAGACCAGCUCUAAAAUGUCAAUACAAGAGGCAUUCUGCCAGUAUGGAGGAUUUAUCUGUGUAAAGAGAGACAGAGGUUGUUCACCGUUGGCAUCGGCCAAAAGCUUAAUUCCCAGAAGAGGAAAAGCUUCAAAUACCCUUCCCAUCUGUCCUCAGGAGUUGGUAUAUUUUUCCUGCCCACAAUGCGCAGGGCAUGCCCUGCUUUCAGAUACAACCACUGAAAUGUACUCACCAUUUGCAACCAGUGGUUCUCCCUCUUUUAUUGAGACAUUCUAGCUACAAGCAACUGCGGAACACGGGGGGUCAAGCACACCUGAGUGAAGGACCUCAGGGUUAGAGAGACACUUGAAAGGACACUUGAACGUAAUUUUGGGCUCCUGUGUACUAGCUUGCAUUCUCUUGGCUUCUACUAUCACCUGCUGACAAAGAGCAAGAUCACUCACUCACAUCGAAGUCUUACGCUUCAUCGGAGUCGGCUUCUUCCUUUGCCACUUUGCGUUGUCUUCUCACCUGCAUUCAUCACCUCGACACAAGUCAUUUGUCGUUGAUGUCCGGAGAUUUCUCGCGGUGCCUGCUCAACCCUAGUAUUCUUUUAUGGCGGAUGGAGGCGAGAGCAAGGUUCUCGGGAGCUGUGGAAACCAUUGGAAGUAUGAGAGGGUGGUCCUCUCGUUGAGCACAUCCCAGUACUCGUGCCAUUGCACGAGGUUUGAUGCUCACAAAGCUCUGUUCUAGCUUUCUCUAUGUUGCUUCUUGGCUAGAUUCAUCUCGUUGCUCGGAUUUAAAUUUGAUGUUGUUACUUCCAUACCCUCCAUUUCUGACUGACAAGGCUCCGAUCUGACUGGGUCGUUUAAUCUCUGCAUCUUGGUGCUGCUUUUGAAGGUUGUCGAAGUCCUUAUGGUCCUCUCCUGCAGCAAGGCGGUCUGCUCGGUCGAUCGUUCUAUGUCCAAUACAUGAUCCAAGAAAGAAGAAUGAGCGCACACUAGGAAGAGUUUAGACAGAGAUAAAGUAGAUAUAAAGAUUAUGGAUGAUCCGAUUGCGAGCGUACAAAGGCAAAUCGAAGCAGUAACGAUUCACGGAUGAAUUGGCCACAAUUUGUGCUACUACGUUGAAGAAGUCUGCUAAACCUGUCAAGGAGAAGAGUUUCUGGUUUCAGCAAUUAAGAAUGUGCAGCAGAAACAGGAUGGAAUGAAGCAGCUCUAAGUCUCUACUGAAAGCUCAACAAAACACAAAUUGUGCACGGUUGAUUCACAUGCAUGAAUAUCAUUACAAGGCUGAUAAACAGUGCUUCCCUAAGAUUGAGGUAAAGUUGCAAGGCAAGAUCAUGGAGUUUUUUAAAAGUUGAAUGGCAGUAGCUGAGAUAAGGCGCAAUUUGGCUACUCUGGAGGAGCGCCAAUCAGACUCAUGUAGCUCAGAUCAGCCACAAUUAUGAUGCUGGACAUGCAAAUUGAGCAGCUUAAAUCUCAGCUUGAGGUUGCCUGAAGGAUUCAGAUCUCAGAAGCAAUAUGAUGUGUUGGACUGCCAACAUGGUCGAAUGCGUGCUCAAUUGAAGAUUCAGCCCAAGAUGCUAGCUUCUCUCAAGACAGCGCUGCUAUACAACAAGUCUGGUAACCCCAUCAGCAUGCUAGAAGACGACAUGGUCGAGAAGGGUACCAUUCUGAUUCGAGAAUGCCCUCUAUGAACAAUAUUGCGGUGGCCAGCUGUACGUGCACAUCCCAUUUCGGCAUGCGAGCUGGUUGCGGGCCACCUUGAGCAAUUGAAUGGCUCACAGGACUCGUCUUAGCACACUACAAGUGUUAUCACGAAAGCUUCAGGCAUGUACUUCGUUUUUACUAACUUUAGUAGCAUGAAAGCUCUUCACAUGGUAGAUUGCACUUAGAUUUACAAGCUUCAAACCUGUGUGAGGAAGCCAGUCAUCUAUUUUUUCUCAUAGGGACUCAGCCAUGCAGGCUGAUUACCUUUGUUGAGCAGUGUAAGGCACUUGGCCAACCCAACAUACGACUUAGUGAUGCUAUGAAAACCAGAGAUUGUUGCCCUGCUCUUUGUACAGCAAAGAAGUUGCUCAGCCUUACAAGACAGCAACAUAGUGAUAUGAGCAUCGUGCAUACCCAUGCUAGUAAGUGACCAUGGUAAGCAAUCUUGCUUCUGGGCUAACCAAUGCAGUGACUUUGCAUUAUCAAUAACUGAUAGAGCUGGACUCGUUUGACGCUUGUCAACUCUAUUCACCCAACUGUCUCGCACACAAGCAAUGACAAAUCAAUCAAACAGAGUAUUUGCUUCU